AGUGAACGCUGGCGGUAUGCCUUACACAUGCAAGUCGAACGGCAGCACGGGAAGUGGUUGCUGUUGGGGAGGGGGGGACGGGGGCGGAUUAGAUAGACAUAGGAAUCGAAGUGGUGGUGAGGGAGGAGGAAGGGGGACUUACACUGAUACCGAAUACGGGAUGAAGGUGAAGGACGUGCAGGUUCGGACCUUGCGGGAUGGACGGAGGCGAUGUCGGAUUAGCUAGUUGGUGGGGUAAAGGCCGACCAAGGCGACGAUCCGUAGCUGGUCUGAGAGGAGGACCAGCCACACUGGAACUGAGACACGGCCCAGACUCCUACGGGAGGCAGCAGUGGGGAAUAUUGGACAAUGGGCGCAAGCCUGAUCCAGCAAUACCGCGUGUGUGAAGAAGGCCUUCGGGUUGUAAAGCACUUUUGUUGGGAAAGAAAACCAUCAGGCUAAUACCCUGCGGUUCUGACGGUACCGGAAGAAUAAGCACCGGCUAACUUCGUG
This 492-nucleotide ribosomal RNA is filed under the name uncultured bacterium. RNAcentral's name for it is "partial 16S ribosomal RNA". It matches the Rfam family "Bacterial small subunit ribosomal RNA", at positions 30 to 507 of the family's 1533-position model. The record is from RNAcentral.